GAUGAACGCUGGCGGCGUGCCUAAUACAUGCAAGUCGAGCGAACAGACGAGGAGCUUGCUCCUCUGACGUUAGCGGCGGACGGGUGAGUAACACGUGGAUAACCUACCUAUAAGACUGGGAUAACUUCGGGAAACCGGAGCUAAUACCGGAUAAUAUAUUGAACCGCAUGGUUCAAUAGUGAAAGACGGUUUUGCUGUCACUUAUAGAUGGAUCCGCGCCGCAUUAGCUAGUUGGUAAGGUAACGGCUUACCAAGGCAACGAUGCGUAGCCGACCUGAGAGGGUGAUCGGCCACACUGGAACUGAGACACGGUCCAGACACCUACGGGAGGCAGCAGUAGGGAAUCUUCCGCAAUGGGCGAAAGGAUGACGGAGCAACGCCGCGUGAGUGAUGAAGGUCUUCGGAUCGUAAAACUCUGUUAUUAGGGAAGAACAAAAGUGUAAGUAACUAUGCACGUAUUGACGGUACCUAAUCAGAAAGCAACGGCUAACUACGUG
Molecule: ribosomal RNA, 497 nt
Filed under: uncultured bacterium
Lineage: Bacteria
Description: partial 16S ribosomal RNA
Rfam family: Bacterial small subunit ribosomal RNA
Source: RNAcentral